RNAcentral lists this unclassified non-coding RNA (681 nucleotides) under Bombus terrestris (buff-tailed bumblebee). RNAcentral's name for it is "misc RNA ENSBTSG00005027654.1". Lineage: Eukaryota; Metazoa; Arthropoda; Insecta; Hymenoptera; Apidae. The record is from RNAcentral.
GGAACAUAAGUGUAGCUCGGUAUCGUGUGCACAUUUCGCUCGUGCCAGCACACAUUGUCUAUGGUUCCAAAUUGAAGGCCGUGAGAGACUUUAAGCUAGUUUACAACCUCGGUUGGCGCAAGGCGAACUAGUCAUCCCGAUGCAUGUGAGAAUUAUAUGAACCUGCAUUUACUCACUGCAAAAACGAAGAUUACUUUUGUACUAUAAAUGUACUAAUGAAACGCUGUUGUACUAUAAAAUGAAAUGAAGAUCGUUCGAUAUCUCGUAAAAUUAUUUUGAGGACAAAUGGAACUGGGAGAGAUACUAGAUAAGAAACAAGAAGCAACGCACAAGUUUGAAGCUGUAAAUGUCAUCAAGAAGCCAUCCUUGGAAAUCUUAAGUGGCACAAUGACCGAGAUGCAAGGUUAACAUAAUAUGCCGCACUUUCUCCCAAGUGCAUCAACGAGAAGUGCAAUGCAAGAAUAAACAUGGAGUGAAGAGGCAUCUGAGUAUAAAUCUUAUCUUAAAUUUUUAUUUGUAUCUUUGUCUUUCUAAACGUUCUUAUUCAUUGGGAUUUCCGUAUUAUUAAAGUGUCUAAUAUGUAAUUUGAGAAUGUAUUCGAGAAAUAUCUUUGCUAUAUUUUUUCUAGAAAUAUUACACGUUUUUGAAAUUUUUAACGAUUUCAAACUUCCAUAGUAUGUU